Long non-coding RNA from Columba livia (rock pigeon), 4538 nucleotides. RefSeq lists it as uncharacterized. The record is from RefSeq and is a predicted model, not a curated record. NCBI's taxonomy places the organism in Eukaryota, Metazoa, Chordata, Aves, Columbiformes, Columbidae. The transcript is spliced from 16 exons.
GCAAGGCGGGGGAAGGCGGCGGGCCGGCAGGGGGCGCUGCGAACGGGGGUGCCCGCCUGAGGGGACGGGAAACCCGGGCGGGGCUCAGGGGACCGAGCCGGGGAAAUGCGGGGCUGAUCCGCCGCGCUUCUACAAGUGAGUGGACUGCAUGAAGAGGACUGUCUGAUUUGCCUGAGAUCACAAAAGUGCAAGAACCGGCAACACUGACAGAAAAGUAACCCACAAACGAUGAGCCCGGACAUCGUAGCAGGUGGAUCUCGGUGGAGCUUGCCCUGCGGCGACCGGUGAGCUGAAAGAUGAGAUCGGACACAACUGAAUGAACACGUUUUCUCGAUGCUUUGUGACCCUGUUUCAUUCCCCGGCAGGUCUUCGGUCCGUUGCCAGAGAAGGGUGGCAGAUGCUGGGAUCUGCGUGGAGUCAACAGCAUCCGGCCAGCCAAACUUCUCCCCUUGGAAGGAAAAAAGACACAGCGCAGCUGGGAAGCACUACUGGGGAUCCUGGCCCAUCCGUGGGCACAAAAUCCAUCACUGGCCUUGUAGGAACAAGCAUUUCCACUCCCAAACGUUCCAGUAAAAAGGACAAGGACUGCAGAGGUUUGAAGACUGAGCUCUUCCCUUCUCUCCAUGGCCCCUCGAUCUGCUUUUGACAUCAAGGUUGUGGCCGACCAACAGCUCUAAGUUAGUGCUGAAAUGUUAAACACCCAGCAGAUGACAGCUACGCUUUCUGGAAACACCCAGUAAUCCGACGUUCCCCGAGGGACAGCGGGAAGCACAGAACUAAGAGCUCAUCAAUUGUUUAGUUGGAUUCUGAGUCACAUGGUGAAAAGGCAUCAUGAGAAUAGACAUGCUGAUUCGGACCAAGGUCUUGCACAGCCUCUUACUUUGACUCCAGUAUUGGACAGAAGCGGAUGGAUGACAAGAAAGAAGUAAAAAGAGGAGUACAACCACCAGCCGUUCUUCAAUGGAAAUGUGUCCUCCUGGCUGCUCAUUUCUGACUCUCAGGCUGCCAAAACCCAACAAUAUCCAAAUGUUAUGGAAACUUCUUGCUUCUUCCACAUCUCCUGCUGCUUUCACACAUCUCCGGGCGGCCAUUUAAGGAGUAUUCUGCAAGAUCCAUCAGAGCAGUCGCGUGCUGGGAUUUACAGCAGGAGACAGAACUAAAAACUGCCCCAUUUCUGGGAAAGCUCGUGCACUUGAACUCAAAGCGUCUGCCUUUGGUCUUGGAGCUACAAAGCAGUUUCUGAUCAUUUCGAGAUGCUGAACUGCACCUUGAGGGCUGUGGAAUCGUAUUGUCGUUAGUGUCGCCAAACAGCAGAUAUGCUCCUGCUUAUCAGUCCUGCUUUGAAAUGCUGCAGCUCGUGGCAACUUUUCCUGUAAUUCUGCUCACUCCGACGUUCCCCCUGCUCGCACCUUCUAGCUCGAGGAAGAACUGGAGUCGCAGCAGCCGGAUUCCCCCCUGCUUUCCUCCCUGUGGUACACGUGUGGAAAUGUGGACGUGGGUUUGUUUUGCUGUGUAGUGGCUUUGAAACCACUUGCCUGGUAUCCUGGGGACACUAGUGGGCCACAGGUUGAGCAGCAGUGAGACAAGAGGUGCCUUCGAGAUAACCUGGAAGGGUUGGAUUGUGUCUCAGAGAGGGAGCAGCUGCAUUUGCGUCCCGUCAUUUAGCAGUCUGCCCCGGGCAGCUCGUUCCAAUGUUUAAUAAUCCUUUCCGGGAAGAAAUUGUUCCCUGGAUCCAACCUCAACAUCCUCUGGCGCAACCUGCAGCUGUUUCCUCUGCUCCUGAUGCUUGUUCUUGGUUCCAGAGCUUGUUCCUUGUCCAGUAGAUUCAAACAAACCUUUUGGAAAAGUAGAGAUCAGAAACUUGCAGUUCAUCAGAAUCUGGAUUAAAGCACCAAUCCUGACAGAAUGCUGGAAUGGACUUGGGAGAAAAAUUACAACAUAUGACCUCUCUGAAGAUUCAGAAGUCAAACAAAAGUUAGAUACAUGCCAUUUUUCUAUGAAGUCACAGGUUUUGUGUGGUUGGCAAAUGUAAUGCAUCUCUCAGGAAGAUGUGAAUCUACUGUGACUACAACACUAAGAGGCGCUGAGAUUAUUUGGUAUAAAUGCUGUCUGGAGAAAAGCUUCUAACUCUGUCAGGCAAAUGCCUUGGUCCCAGAAAGAUAAGACGAGGACUAAAAACGCACCAGUCUAAAUGUGAGCCCAGCUGCACGGCUGAAUAAAUAGGAGUCACCCGCUGGAAAACAGUCAGUGUUUACUUGAUCACUUUGGAGUCUGAACCCUCAUAUAACGGCAUUCACAUGAUAGAAUCUCCCCCCAAAAGUAGUGCUGGUCUCUUCAUGGUUUUUGCAGAUGAAUGUGAGGAUUUUGCCACAAAGAUGGAUCCAUCAGUCCUUUCUCUUUUUUGCUCCUGGUUUGCCUUUCCUUGGGGAUCUGUUAGCAGCACGCUGCCUCACCUGGUUUCAGGCUCCUCAGCACACCUGCUAAUUCCUGUUGGAGCAUUCCUCUUCCAGGAUGGCAUUUUAACCCCAUCCUUCCCAAAAGCAGCAUCGGUUCUGCCAGCACACUCCUUCAAAACUCACAACUCGAGGACCAAAAUGUUAUUUUCAGUUUCAGAACAGUCAACGGCUUUGAUAAAAACCAAGUUGUACCCCUUGUGCGCAGGACUAGAGUGUGUAUACUCAUAAAAUACAAAGAGAGGAAUAAAGACAGGCUGAGAAAACACUCUGCAAACUGGAGAGAUUUUACUGUACAAUAUAUACGCUUCUCACAGAGAGCGCCAAAGCCAGAUACCCCAAACAAAUAGCAUCGAUUCCCUUCUUUUCCACAAGAACGACUCCAGUUCAAACAAAACGGAAAUAAAAGGCAGGAUGGGACUUUGAGGAGGAGUGAGAAUAAAAGCUUUAGAUGCGCAUGGGGAUACUGUCAGACGUCUGUGACAGAACAGUCCCGCGGAUCUGGUGUACGUGCAGAGUUUGCUGACCAGCAAAGAGGUGUCGUGAGAAAGCGCUCCGGCAGUGCGGCCUGCUGAGCCUGGUCCCUGGGAUCCCAGGAGGAGCAUCUGCUUUGCUACCAGCACUUUGCUCUGUAAUUACAGCGUAGCAUCGGCUUUGAAAACAAUCAUUCGGAUAUUCUGCUUCAGAUGGGAACUUCAGGCUUUGUUUGCUAUGAAGGAGACUGAAACUGGCAACUUUUUCCUCGGUAGUCAUAAUUUUUAGCUGCAAACUACAAAACGGAACAGAUUCAGAUGCAAAUCCAAAGGGUGAAAAGUGCAUUAUUUCCUUCCCAAACUUCUGAAGUACCGUAUUCAAGGAUUCAUGUUCCAUGUAUCAAAAAGACUCACAUGAGAGACGUGAGAGACAGGAAAAAAGUGAGUAGUAAUGGAAUCAUAGUGAUUUCAAAAGGAGACACAAAACAACACAUUAGAUCAUUAAAUCCUGUCUAUGCUGCUUCGAAACAUUGGCUUUUGAGAAUUACAGAACUCUAGUUCACACCACCUUUGCUUUUCUCAGUUUUAUUUUGGUUUAUGUUCCAUUGGAAAUGAGACUAAUUCAAUGGCAUGACAUGACACAAGCACAACUGAGUCGGAGAGCUGGAGGUUUUGUACUCGCCUAUCAAUGCUUAUGAGUUUUGAUGCUAUCCACAAUACCUGAGCAAACAACAAGGGUUUGUGUGGUGUUGCUCCCGUGGAAAUGCAUAUCACGCUAUCCCCUAGAACAUGAAGGCACACAUAUGCUCUUCCUCCAGCCAACAAACAAGUUUUGAUGUACCACUUGGUGUAACCAGACCUUUAAUAUGAAACCAUAAAGGCAAGGCUUGUGGUGUUGGCUAUAUAAGUAGCUAUAUAUUCUACUCCUACCACAAGCAACUGACACUUGAGAAAUGCUCUACAUGACUAAUGGUUUGAGUGGUCUGACCCACCUCCUUUCCCCACAGCAUACCAAUUCUAUGCUUUCUAUAAUUGAGAUAAGCUAAGAAGAGAGGAGGAGUUAAAUGACUUAACUCUUUAAUAAUUUACAACUCUCCAGGAUGAAUACAUAGUGCGAAGGGGCAAGGCUGCUCGCUCAGAGUGGCAGUCUGGGACUGCGGUGGGGAGGAAUUAGACAAUCGGAUCCACAUCUGUUGAAUUCUUUCACGCUGCCAAAUCACAUAACCAAAAUGUCAAAUUCCAGCCCCAACACAGGCAUGAGAAGAAUAUCGAGGUUAAGUGAGAAAUGCUCAAAAUUAGGAAGCAAGUGUCGAAGACAACUGUAAUGUCUGUAUACACAGAUGCUGUCAAAACUUCACUGGAGAGCACGUCAGAAGGAACACAGCCUUUUUAAUUUUUAUUUUAUUUUUAAUAGAUGAUUCUUUGACAAACUAUGAAAACAAUUUCAUUAGAGAAGAAAAAGAAAAUCAUUUCUCUUGCCACAGGGCUUUCUUCCUGCACAUUUCAAAGGCCCGCUGUGAAUAAUAGUGUUAGAGCCUCCAAGCUUCAAGGAUAUUUUAUAGUGGAAAGUGUUAGGCAACCAAAAUAAAUAUCAGUCUCCACUGUUACGAAA